RNAcentral lists this ribosomal RNA (494 nucleotides) under uncultured bacterium. Its description in RNAcentral is "partial 16S ribosomal RNA". It matches the Rfam family "Bacterial small subunit ribosomal RNA", at positions 28 to 507 of the family's 1533-position model. The record is from RNAcentral.
GACGAACGCUGGCGGCGCGCUUAACACAUGCAGGUCGAACGGAAAGGCCUGCUUUCCCUUGUGGAUUGCGGGUACUCGAGUGGCGAACGGGUGAGUAACACGUGAGUGAUCUGUCCCCAACUUGGGUAUAAGCCUGGGAAACUGGGUCUAAUUCCCGAUAGGACUGCAGGGUGGUGCCUGUGGUGGAAAACGAUUUUCUAGUGGUUGGGGAUGAGCUCGCGGCCUAUCAGCUUGUUGGUGGGGUAAUGGCCUACCAAGGCGGCGACGGGUAGCCGGCCUGGGAGGGUGGACGGCCACAUUGGGACUGAGAUACGGCCCAGACUCCUACGGGAGGCAGCAGUGGGGAAUAUUGCACAAUGGGCGGAAGCCUGAUGCAGCGACGCCGCGUGGGGGAUGACGGCCUUCGGGUUGUAAACUCCUUUCGACCGCGAGGAAGCCACCUGGUUGGAAGGGUGGUGACGGUAGUGGUAGAAGAAGCACCGGCUAACUACGUG